CAUCCCAAAUUAAACCGACCUAAUCAUAAUUAAUCCACCCCUAUAUAAACACUUCUGUUCAUUCUUAUUCCUCAUUCCUCAUUAGAGUUUCUUCCUUGCAAUAACAUACUUGGAAAACCUAAUUAAUCUUCUUCCUUCUCCGCUUUCUCAAUCUUCUUCCUUCUCCAAUUCCGAUUUAAUGGCUCGUACUAAGCAAACCGCUCGCAAAUCCACCGGUGGCAAGGCUCCAAGGAAGCAACUCGCCACCAAAGCUGCUAGAAAAUCUGCUCCUACUACUGGUGGAGUCAAGAAGCCACAUCGUUAUCGUCCUGGAACCGUUGCUCUUCGUGAGAUUCGUAAAUACCAGAAGAGUACCGAACUUUUGAUCCGUAAGCUUCCUUUCCAGCGUCUUGUUCGUGAGAUUGCUCAAGAUUUCAAGACUGAUCUGCGAUUCCAGAGCCAUGCUGUUCUUGCUCUUCAGGAAGCUGCUGAGGCUUAUUUGGUUGGAUUGUUUGAGGAUACCAAUUUGUGCGCAAUUCAUGCUAAGAGGGUGACGAUCAUGCCGAAAGAUGUUCAACUUGCACGCCGUAUUCGUGGUGAACGCGCUUAGGUUUAAGGAUUUAUAUGGAUAUAUAUUACUAUUUUAGGAUUAUGAUUUAGGGUUUAUUUCAAUUCAAUGUUUUCUUUUAUGCGUUCUAUAGUUUGGAUUCAUAUGAAUUAAAAGAUGUUACUUUACUAACGCUUUCUCUCUGUUAACCUUCCUUUUCUCCUUAAACAGGAACUACAAUUCACGCUUUCAUUUUAUUUUCAUAUAUUCUUUGCCGAUUGAUAACGAAUUAAGUCAUAGGGGGAUCAAACCAUUAAAUCAUUAUAACUUCAACAUCUAUUUGUUGAAGUUGUGAUGUUUAGCAUAAUCAUGCAACAUCAUUCUAACUACACACAUUCAACACAGCUAUAGGGUAAGUUUUGCCAUGUGUCAAUCACACAAUGCUGCAGAAGAAAUCCUAGCUGGACAAGAUCACAAAUACUUUGCUUCUUCUGGCCAUCAGUUUGAAUUUCGUUUCCCCCCUUUCAUCUCUUUGCUAGCUGGGCCAAACUUUUUUACCCAGCCCAGUCCAAUAAGCCCAAGGAUGGCAAACAAACAAAAAAUGGUCAGAACUCAUAAGCAAGCUGUUGUCGUGUUGUCGUUUUCAGCAUGCGAGUGAUUUUCUUCAUUUGGGUAACAAACCUGUUGCUCCUUUCUCUGCUGCAAGCUCCUUUCACUGAUCUAGGUUUCAAAUUCAAAUUUCAAAUCCCCCUCAAAAUGUCUUUUGUGGCAUCUCUAUUUGCACACACAAUCUCUCUCCCUCUUCUACCUUCAUUCAAUACAUGCCAAUCUCUCUGCGUCCAUUUCUCUGCUUCAUCUCCCAGAAUCUAGAUAACAAUUUUUUUCUCUCUUUGUUUUCACUUUGGUACAGAUUAACUUCCAUUAUUAAUGAUUAGUUAAUGUGUUAUUUUCCUCACAGAUUCACACUUCCAUCGCAAUUUUCAGUUUUUAUUGUUUGUUCAGGUUCACAAUUAGAGUUUGAUUGGGCCAAAAGAUUUGUAGACUAUUUGGCUACUUUGGUCCUCUAAAUGCAGUUUUCGUGCCUCAUGAUGAUUAUAUUAGGCCAUGUUAUUCAGUCUCAUGGAACUAAACUCUUAGAUGCAGCAUGCAGCCGCCUCAGUUGUAGAAAAUUUGGGACUGUAUUAUAUUUCAAGAAUCGAUAUACAUUUUGUUUGCAAGCUAAAUUCACCUGAAACUUCUGUUUUAAAGGCUUUGGAUUGCGCAAUCUUGAUAAAUUUGUUUUAUACUUGCAGGCUUUACCCGGUCUGCAGUUGACUUCACUUAACAAAGUUAUUGUCCAGAGCAUGAAUGGGAAGAAAAGACAUGAAAAGCUCCUUUUGCUGUUGUAAGUACAGUUGCAGAGAGUGUGAGAGCUCAUGCCAUUGUUGAUGUUGCUGCUGGUCAGCAAAAUGACAUACCUAUGAUUCCUAAGAUGCUCAGAAAAUAUGAAGUUCAUCUAUUUUGUUUACAAAUUGAGACAAGAAAGUGCAGAUAGUAUAUGGCUCACUACCUUUUGAUCUUGAGGCUGGUCAUAAGAUACUACCAAAUAUAAUUCCCUGGAAUUUUCCCUCAGAGUUAUCCACACUAAUCGAGAAGGAGGUUGCCAAGUCAAUGACCAUAAUAGAAAACAACUCAAACUGGGAAGGGUUAGCUAAUGAAGAGCUUUGCAUAGAAACUGAUUAUUUAGCUAUUCUUGACGACACUUCUGUUGUAUGGCUACUUUGUUCUCAAUUUAGUUAUGUAAACAUCUUGGUUGCUAAUCUGUUGAGGUGUACAAUUUUUUUUCAAUUUUUAGUGCAACUUAUACAGUGGAAUUGUUGACUGGAAAAGAUUAUGUAAGUAUAUUUUAAGGUUGUUUCAAGUCUUUUCCUAAAAGUGAAGUGAAGAAAUUUCAAGUUAUCCCAAUCUAUGGAAACAAUUUUGUAUAGAAGAAAUUGUAGGUUUUAAAAGUGAAAGUUUAUUGACAAAAAACACGAGGAGUGUCCGAUAUGGAUGCUGAAUGGAAUAAAUUUCAAGUUA
Molecule: RNA transcript, 2584 nt
Organism: Trifolium pratense (red clover)
Lineage: Eukaryota; Viridiplantae; Streptophyta; Magnoliopsida; Fabales; Fabaceae
Gene name: histone H3.3-like
Exons: 7
Source: RefSeq, a predicted model, not a curated record